Molecule: long non-coding RNA, 531 nt
Organism: Entelurus aequoreus (snake pipefish)
Lineage: Eukaryota; Metazoa; Chordata; Actinopteri; Syngnathiformes; Syngnathidae
Exons: 3
Source: RefSeq, a predicted model, not a curated record
GUUUGCCACCGCCUCUGAAACUAUGUUGACUCUACUCUCGCUAAAUCCUGUUUGAACACGACCGCUGCUUUUUAUUUACCUUGAAGAAGUGGAGGCUCCACAUCUGGAAAAUGUGCUUCUUUGCCCUGAGCAGGUAUACACCAUCCAUCCAUCCAUCCAUCUUCUUCCGCUUAUCCGAGGUCGGUCGCGGGGGCAGCAGCCUAAGCAGAGAAGCCCAGACUUCCCUCUCCCCAGCCACUCCGUCCAGCUCCUCCCGGGGGAUCUCGAGGCGUUCCCAGGCCAGCCGGGAGACGUAGUCUUCCCAACGUGUCCUGGGUCUUCUCCGUGGCCUCGAACGUGCCCUAGGUGUUCGGGUGGCAUCCUGACCAGAUGCCCGAACCACCUGAUCUGGCUCCUCUCCACGUGGAGGAGAACAUUCCUCAUUUUUUGAACGCCCCCCGCAGCAUUCCAAUAUAAUAUUUAGCAGAUCACUUGCAGACUGGUCAUAGUCCAAGGCCACGGCGCGGCCAUGCUGGUCCAAGUAGUACCCGG